This 131-nucleotide small nucleolar RNA is filed under the name Vulpes vulpes (red fox). RNAcentral describes it as "Small nucleolar RNA SNORA70 (ENSVVUG00000010620.1)". It matches the Rfam family "Small nucleolar RNA SNORA70". Rfam says of the family: snoRNA U70 seems to be exclusive to mammals and is a member of the H/ACA class of snoRNA which contain H (ANANNA) and ACA box motifs. H/ACA box snoRNAs are involved in the conversion of uridines to pseudouridines (5-ribosyluracil) a constituent of structural RNAs (transfer, ribosomal, small nuclear, and small nucleolar). The record is from Rfam by way of RNAcentral. Lineage: Eukaryota; Metazoa; Chordata; Mammalia; Carnivora; Canidae.
CUGCAGCCAAGUAAGCUGACUGUGCUCUUUCCCCAUGGGGGCCCAGUGUGCCAGGGCUGCAGACAGCCUCCUUGGUAUUGUAUGCAGCCUGUUGAUUGUAUGGGUUGCCCUAAGCAGCCUUGGAGACAGCC